Long non-coding RNA from Vidua chalybeata, 800 nucleotides. RefSeq lists it as uncharacterized. NCBI's taxonomy places the organism in Eukaryota, Metazoa, Chordata, Aves, Passeriformes, Viduidae. The transcript has 2 exons. The record is from RefSeq and is a predicted model, not a curated record.
ACUGCGCAUGUUCCCCGCGCGCGGCGCCUGCGCGGCCGCGGGCAGCGAGGCAGGAGGGCCGCCCGCGCCUCCCUCCCCUCAGGGAGAGGGGCCUGCGGAGGUGGGCGCUGCCUCGGCCCCGCCCCCGGGAGAAAGUGGUUCUAGUCCGCUGCCCUCUCGCCCUCACGCCCAUCGCCAGUCCUCUGAGGAACCGAACCUCCCAUCGCCCUACUCUUUAGCUAGCUAGUCGCUCACACCGUAACUUCGAACAGUUUGUGUGAUAGUUACUCCGGUUCCAGUUCCCUCUGUAAGGGAUCUGUAGGAAUGAGAGGGAUCUCUGCGGCAGGGCUUUGCCUGCUGCUCCCGCCCCAGCUCGGCUCCCUGAGCAGAGCGGUUCCUUACAGCCGCCGUGCAGCAAAUGCAGAAAGCUCGGUCCCCUGCGAGAGUAUUGCACCCCUAUGACCUCACUGUGCUGUUACACCCCCAUCAGAAUGUUUCUUGAUUGUCUCCAUGGCCACAGAGGAUGUGGUCAGUGACAGGCAACAUCCUGCAAAGGCACAUCUGCCCAGCUUAGAAAUAUCAAACACUGCAUAAGUUUUGCUCCGCUGUACGAUGAGGAACUCAAUGACAUCUGCCGUCACUGUUUGGGGCCAGUACCCACAGGUGCAAGAUACUCCCAACUGGAAACUGGUGGACAAGGGAGAGAGAAGAAUUGUAAACAAUCUAGCAAGACUGUGCUAAUGAAUGGCUGCCCUUGACUGACUUCAUCAACAGUUAGAAUAAAUUAAAACAGGAGCGUGAGCUCUCACCUUCAAUUUGAA